This 259-nucleotide ribosomal RNA is filed under the name uncultured bacterium. Its description in RNAcentral is "partial 16S ribosomal RNA". It matches the Rfam family "Bacterial small subunit ribosomal RNA", at positions 524 to 778 of the family's 1533-position model. The record is from RNAcentral.
UACGUAGGAGGCAAGCGUUGUCCGGAUUUACUGGGCGUAAAGCGCGCGCAGGCGGCAUGGCAAGUAAGGUGUGAAAACUCCAGGCUCAACCUGGAGACGCCACCUCAUACUGCUGUGGCUAGAGUCCGGUAGGGGAGCAUGGAAUUCCUGGUGUAGCGGUGAAAUGCGCAGAUAUCAGGAGGAACACCAGUGGCGAAGGCGAGUCUCUGGACAGUUACGUGACGCUGAGGCACGAAGGCCCAGGGGGAGCAAAACGGGG